UACGAGGGGGGCAAGCGUUGUUCGGAAUUAUUGGGCGUAAAGGGCGCGUAGGCGGUGCGGUAAGUCACCUGUGAAAACUCUGGGCUCAACUCAGAGCCUGCAGGCGAAACUGCCGUGCUUGAGUGUGGGAGAGGUGCGUGGAAUUCCCGGUGUAGCGGUGAAAUGCGUAGAUAUCUGGAGGAAUACCGGUGGCGAAGGCGGCAUCCUGGACCGACAUUGACGCUGAGGAGCGAAAGCUAGGGGAGCAAACAGG
RNAcentral lists this ribosomal RNA (253 nucleotides) under uncultured bacterium. RNAcentral's name for it is "partial 16S ribosomal RNA". It matches the Rfam family "Bacterial small subunit ribosomal RNA", at positions 524 to 776 of the family's 1533-position model. The record is from RNAcentral.